GGCCUUUUGAGGAUAAUUUAAGGUCUUACCUGCUCAAUGAUAUAAUUAAAUAGCUGCAGUAUUUUGACUGUACUAAGGUAGCAUAAUCAUUAGUUUCUUAAUUGGGAACUGGAAUGAAAGGUUUAAUGAGAAAAUAACUGUCUCUUUAAUAAAUAUAGAAAUUUAUUUUUAAGUAAAAAAGCUUAAAUUUUUUCAAAAGACGAGAAGACCCUAUAGAGUUUUAUAAUUAAUCAAUUUUUACUAAUAAAGUAUAUAAAUUUAUUUUAAUUGAGGACAUUAUUUGAUUGGGGUGAUUAAAAAAUUUAAUAAACUUUUAUUUAUUGAAACUUUGAUUUAAGAUUAAUUUGAUCCGUUAUUAAUGAUUAAAAGAAUAAAUUACCUUAGGGAUAACAGCGUAAUCUUUUUUUAGAGUUCUAAUCGAUAAAAAGGAUUGCGA
Molecule: ribosomal RNA, 436 nt
Filed under: Cryptocephalus pulchellus
Lineage: Eukaryota; Metazoa; Arthropoda; Insecta; Coleoptera; Chrysomelidae
Description: partial 16S large subunit ribosomal RNA
Source: RNAcentral